RNAcentral lists this small nucleolar RNA (69 nucleotides) under Leptomonas pyrrhocoris. Its description in RNAcentral is "Trypanosomatid snoRNA TB10Cs5H3". It matches the Rfam family "Trypanosomatid snoRNA TB10Cs5H3". Lineage: Eukaryota; Euglenozoa; Kinetoplastea; Trypanosomatida; Trypanosomatidae. The record is from Rfam by way of RNAcentral.
CAACUACAACUCUCUGGAUUCUUUGAGCUCUUUCAAUCUCAGUGCUAUCCUCAUCGGUUGUCGAAGACU